Molecule: transfer RNA, 50 nt
Filed under: Gammarus nipponensis
Lineage: Eukaryota; Metazoa; Arthropoda; Malacostraca; Amphipoda; Gammaridae
Description: tRNA-Ser
Source: RNAcentral
UAAGUGUAAAAAAGACUUCUAAUCUUUAAACAGCCCAACGCUACACUUGG